Molecule: long non-coding RNA, 7880 nt
Filed under: Brachypodium distachyon (stiff brome)
Lineage: Eukaryota; Viridiplantae; Streptophyta; Magnoliopsida; Poales; Poaceae
Description: long non-coding RNA (BDIS_LNC001358)
Source: RNAcentral
UGCCUAUAUUUUCCCGUUGCUCUCUCUCUCUCUCUCUCUGUCAUGCAGAAUAUGUUCUAAAAUAAGCCUUGGAAUGAUCUGAACUGACAUGGUUCAGGUGACUAAUCAGAGUUCAUAACAAAUUGUAGGAACUGAACACCAAGGAGUACUAUGAGACUAGCUACAAGAUUCUAAGUUCAUGACACUUCUGACGUUUCUGAAUGGCAUGUCCUUCUUUUGUUUCAGUUAAAAAAGCACAUCUCUUUCUCUGUACAUAUCAAAGAACAAAUUUUCAGAUUAUCAUUUUUGAACAAGCAUUAUAAAUCAAAAUUUUCACUAUUUUGGCUUGUUGAUGAACAGUAUCAAUACUUUCCGAUCCAUAGAACAGUACUUAAGAGGAUCACGGUUCCUCUGGUGCUCUUGUUCCAAGGACAAAUUCAUUCUUAACAAAAAAACGACUACAACAAAACAAUCUGAGUAGUGCUUUUUAACCACAGUGCUCAGUCGAUUUGAGAUUACAGUCUGAGUCAAAUUAAUACACAAAUAUGACAGAAACUGAAGUAAAAAAUGAAACUAAGCAAUCUCAGUUGACAAGUUGUUUUUUCGGACAAUUACGACUGUCGUGACCAACUUCCUGGCAAGUCCUGCACUUCCUUCUCUUUUCCUGUCCACUUUCAUUCUUUUUACCUGUGUCCCCAUGUCCCUUUAUUCUCUUGCUUCUUCCCUUAGUACAAAUAUCAGUUGGUGGGAGGACACCAACUUCAGUCGGAAUGGUACAACCAAUAAAAUCCUCGUGUUCUUUUUGCCUGGUAAUCGGUACAGCAGGAGCCAACUGAGAUAGAUGUACCUCCAUAUUGAGCAAAUUAGUUGUGAGGAAGUCCAUGCCUUCGUCAGAGUUCUUAGCCAUUUGAAUGAGAGCUUCAAACUUGUUGCUUGCAUCUGAAAUCUUUCUUCUCUUAGCUGCAUCAAUGGAAUCGAUUGGCUUCUCCGCAAGUAGGUUGCCUUCGCUAUCAUACACACAAUCCCUGCAAAAUAUUUGUUCAUGUCAGCCAUUAGUUAUGAUAAAAUACCACGUUUUCCCAUAUAUGUAUGUUACCUUUUGCAGUUUUUCUCCCAUCUUUUGAGGACAUAGUGGUUCGGCGGUUCAUUACUGUCUUCAACUUUGGCACCCCUCAAGAAGCGUACAAUAUGGCGGCAUGGGAUUCCUAAAGACUCAAAUAGCAUGCAGGAACAUUUCGCUACCAUGGUUGAGGUGUUACAGCAGACUUCUCUGACCUUCUUGGAAGCAUCGGUUAUGGCCACAAUUUUCACCCCGUCUACAAGUUCAGCACCCUGUACAUCGCAAUGCUCUCUAGCAGCAACUACCUCUUUUUGGAAUUCAUUGAACACCUCAUGUGUGAAUAGCUCACUGCCUUUCCUCUCUAUUCCCCACGUUGUUAGAAUCUGAGGCGUUGUAUGCAUGCUUGUGUUGUCAGCUAUCAACUCCUCUUGCCGCUGACAUUGUAAAGCUAUGUCAAACCUAAGCCAAAACUCCACGAGUGCGAGCUUCCGACCAAUAAAACGGUUGAAAAAUGAAUUAGCACUCUCUGACCUUGAUGUCGUUCUAAGAACCCCUGCCAAGAAUAUGUCCAUGAAGUAGGCUGGAAUCCAUGACUUGCGAAUCUUGUACCUAUUAGCCAACCACUCAUUGUCCUCCAAUUGAAAAUCAGAAAUCAAAGAAUGCCAUUUCGAUUCAAAUUCCUCGGCUGUUUCUGAACCCCAUACACAUGAGUUCACCCUCACCCAAAAUAGGGGUUCCUCCCUUAAGUGAGGACCAAUCUUUUCAGGAAGUUUUUUCAUAAUAUGCCACAUGCACAACCUGUGUUUGGUAUUUGGAAGAACAACACUCAUAGCCUCCCUCAUGCUAGCAUCCUCAUCGGUUAUGAUAAGUCUAGGCUCUUUCCCUCCCAUAGCUUUUAGGAAGGUCUCAAAUAACCACUUGUAAGAUGCAAUUCUCUCAUUUACUACGAACCCGGAACCAAAAAAAACAGAUUGCAUAUGAUGAUCGACUCCGGUGAAAGGUGCAAAAAUCAUAUUGUAGUGUUUCUUGGUGUAUGUUGAAUCAAAAGAAAGCACAUCACCAAAAUGACUAUAGUUUUUCCUUGCAGUGGCAUCUGCCCAAAAAACAUGCAACAUCCUACCAUCUUCAUCCACGUCAUAGUCAAAGUAAAAUGCUGGGUUGAGUUCCUUCAUUCUACCCAGUUGGUCCACAAACAUUUGAGCAUCACAGUUGUUGAUUUUAUUUUUGAAUUCACAAUAGUAAUUUUGUAGAUCUCUCUUCGUGCAUCCCACAUUCUCAAAACCACCAGCACUGACAUGAAGCAAUCUAAAUGCCUGCGAAGUACCUAUGCUUGCUUUCUGGCAUGAGUAAAGUGUGGUUUUGGCCUUCUCAUUGACUCGACGGUUGGAUCUGAUUAGGUGAUGCUUGCUAGGUGUCACCAGUCCAUGAUUGUGGUGCUCAACAAAUGAAGCUAUCUUGUACUUGUUAUCACUGGUCUUCUUCACAAAAAUGCGAGCAUCACAUCCACAUCUAGAUUCUUUCAUCUUACGUUUUUUCUUACUUUUAUCUUUUUUUGAGGGAUCGACAGUCCUCUUUCCAGUAUUCAAGGGAUGAGUAGUAUUUGUACCUUUUUCUGACUUAUAUCCUUGCCUUGCGCACAAAAAGCGCUUCCAAAUAACUACAUCCUCUACUAGCCUCCGCUGCCCAUUACGGACUCCGAAACCAGCGUGAUGUGCAUAUGACUUGUAAAAAGUUUCCACGGAUUCAACAUCAUCAAAUGUCAUCCCGACCACUGGCUUCAGUUCAUCAUCACACUCGGGUACGAAUGUUGAACACUGAACAACACAAAAGACAAGUUAAUUAGUAGAGCAUUGCAUAUCUAUCUUAAUUAAAAGCUAAUUAAAAUUAUUACAUGGAUUGUAGUCAGUACAAACUCACACAUAUGGGUGUGCUUGUUUUCUUUUGGGUGUACUGAAACCAUCGUUAUUAUUCAGUGAGGAGUCGAUAUGUGAUUGAUAAUCACCAAAAGCAUGUGCAGGCAUGGUACUGCCGUUGCUAGCUUCCAUAAUCUGCAGGGCUGUUUUGACCAUUAGCUUGUGCAGAAGGUAUAAUUCAUAAGUGAAUCAAAUCUCACGGAGCCUGGUGGAUAUAGUCUCCACAACACUGAUCUUGUGAGUUUGAAUCACUAUGCAUGCAUUGAUCAUUGUGUUGUUACCUGAGAGAGUAUCGUAGAUUGUUAAUUGAGUUCUCCUACAGAGACGGGGCAGAGACAGGGACAGAAGAUGGCAGCACAGGUUGCCAUGACGUUCAGUGGCCCUUAACCGUGCAAGAUAUGCGCAUCUCUUGCCGGCAGUGGAUGCACGGACGAAACCAGCGUCUCGGGCGGGCGGCCGGCGGCGCGUCGAGCACGACCUAGAAGAUCGUUCUUUUUGGGAAAGAAACGAUCAGGCUAGAGAAGAAGAUGGAGGAGAUAGACUGCAGGGGGUUUUUCACAAAAGGGAAGCCUCGGUGGGAGGGGCUUUUCACAAAGAGCAAAUUAACUGGAGGUGGGAUCUCCGCGUGAGAAUCGUAGCCGCAGGCAACACAUCGGAUGGUUAACGCUAAUUUGAUUGCACGAUUGCAUUAAUGAGGUGAUUGCACAGCAAACGGCCCCUUUACAUUUUUACACCAAUCUAUCAAUUCAAAUCAUGCUACCUCAUCAAUUCAAUCAUCUUGGACUUUUUGGCAGAACUUUUUUUCUUUUUAUACAUCAUUUUGUGACAUACUUCUUACUCCCUCCGAUCCAUAAUAAGUGUCAGAGAUUUAGUAUAAAGUUAAUACAAAGGUUUUAUUAUUUUUAAAUGUAAAAAAGGAUACUUUUACAUUUUUUUCCCAUUAGUUUUAAUUAAUUUUUAGAUUCUAUUUAUGCAUUUGUUUUAACACGGUUCCGCAGGGGGCAUCAUCUAGUAAAGAUUAGAGUGCUGAAGUACUAAUGCAUUUGCUAGACUCGUGUGCUCUGAUUAGACUAGAAAAAUGUUGAGCUAUCAGGAUAAUAAAGAGCGCUUUUGGUAUAUGAAGAAUGGUUUGAAUGUGUAAUGUUGGGAUAAACUUCCGCUUAACAGUAUCGAACAGAUAGUUUUUCAUCCCUAUCACAUAGUCACCAUAAUUUUGGGUUUGAACUGUAAGGCACUAUGGUGCUUACCACUUCUCAAUUAUAUACUGAGUCUCUGUAUCGAUAUUAUUAAGAUUUGUCGAUUGGCAGGAGGUGGUGUCCCAGAGUAUAAAAGAGCUCUGGAGCUAAGUGAGAUUUUGGGAGUUGACAUCUCUCCAGCACAGGUAUUUCUAUUAUCGCCAUGACACAUUGCUUAUGUACAGUCAUACACACCAAUUGACCUUUGACUAACAACUAAUACAACAAAGAUUAUGGAAAUUAUUGCUUCUUUGCAUGUUAAUUUCUGUCUACGUGAGAUGCAGGUUGUGCAUGGACAUUCUCCUUACAGAGAACUGGUGAAGCGGUAUAGCAUCAGAGCACAAUAAUACAUAAGUAGUCUUUAAAUUAUGUCCUAUAGAUAAUCUUGGUGAUUUUCAACCAAGAAUUUUUAAUUUCUUGAUGGACAUGUCAGCACCUGAAUGGAACACACCACCUUUUUCUGUUAGGACAGUUUCGAAGAUGAUCUCAUUGUUGCUGUUGGAAAAGGAGAGCCUGCGGCUGUGAUGGUUGAGUAUGGAUUUAGGUAAUCAUUGAUUUUUGCUAUCACAUCUGUACGUGAAAUUAGUUGCGUUUUUCUCAAGUAUUGUCUGUUAUGUGCAGAAAGGUUCUAUCUAUAGAUGACUAUUCAUCAUAUUUUACAGACAUUGACCCCCUAGCUCCAUUCAAGAAAUGGAAAGUGGGACAAUCAAACUGUAAAACCUUGAUGUCUGAGAAAGUGCACCCGGCAUAUGAUGUUUAUGCAGAGAGAGUUAAAGGUGUGUUUGUCGUUAGUGACCCUGUUGAUUGGGGUAGAGAUCUACAGGUAAUCCCUUGCUAUGUUUCAUUAAUGUAAAAUCUUUUGGGGCCAUGUUUUUUUCACUAUUCCUGGAAAUGGUAACUGCAUGUUUUGUCGACACCCUCCUCUAUAAACUUGUCUUCGACAUGUCAUACUUAUGGUUUUUUAUUUACAUGGGAAAGGUACUUUGUGACAUCUUGUCAACUGGUGGGCUUCCUGGAAAUGGAAAAGGAGGCCAGCCUCCUUUGUAUUUUGCGGCUGAUGAUCUUGAAUAUCAGGUAUGAGGAGUUCUUAUUUAUAGCACACCAUAUUUCUGAACAGAGGGGGUAUCAAAUCUGACCUUCAGUUUGGUCUCAUGAUAGUAAUCGGGGCAUCUCAAACAUUCUUUGUCCACCAAUGCUCUCAAGGUUCAAGGUUUGCUACAAAUUAAUAGAUGCAUCAACUUAAUUGCAGGCUUAGGGUCUUAUUGGUGCUUGAUACAAGUACAAGACUUCCAGUUUAAUUUUCUAAAUAACAAGUCUUGUGUAAUUAGCCCCUUGAUCUCAGUGGUAAAGGAAAUGGAUGUAAGGUUAUUUGCAUCCGUGUUUGUGUUGGGGACAGGGUUGCAUAAUAGAAGUACAGAGUUUCUACUUGCCUACGUACAAAUACAACAUAGCCGAUUUAUAUUCAGUGGAGGCAUUUACAUAGGACGGGCAUCUUGCUAAUAGACCAUGCAUAGUGUUGUAGAUUGUAGAUAGGUUUCGGACACCUUUUGUGCCUAGAUCUUAAAAAAAAAAAGAACUGAAGGAGAAAAAGGUACUCCCUCUAAUCCUAAAUUCUUGACUCAAAUUUGCCCAAAUAUGGAUGUAUCUAUUCUUAAAAGGCGUCUAGAUACAUGUAAUAUUUCGACAACAAUUUAGGAUCGGAGGGAGUAAUUUAUAUUCAGUGGAGGCACGUACAUAGGACAUCUUUUUAGAUGGUUUUAGAGUUCAAGAUCGAAAAGUGAACUUUUCAGGUAGUUCAGGUUGAAAGUGGACUCUUUCCUGAACAUACUUAAAUUGUACUCCCUCCGAUCCAUAAAAAGUGUCGCCAUUUUGUACUAAGUUAGUACAAGUUUUUAGGAUUGGAGGGAGUAUGUAGUUUGAAGGUAAGAUAAUAGUAUAACGUGAUGAAAUUGAUGCAGGUGGAUAUUCCCCUGAAUGACAUCCAGGCUCCAUGCAUGCAUAUAUAUGAUGACUGUUAGCAACAAUAAUAAAUUGCUUUGGCCUCCUAUGGCAGGCUGCAUUUCCUUCUGAGCGACUUGGGAUGGGUGCCUUCAGGAUAGCACUUGAAAGUAUCUUCAAUCAGUAAGCCAUUAUGUAAAUAAACUGUAUUUCUUAGCAUAGGUAUGUUAAAUACUUAUUUAUAUUAUGUGCAGAGUUAGUGAUCUUCCACUCAAGUAUACAUCUUAUGGGAAGCCUAAUCCAUUUGUGUUCAAGAAAGCAGCCAACAUACUAGAAAAACUUGCUAUGGAUAUUUAUCCAAACUCACAGCCAACAACGGAUGUAAAAGACCAUCAGUUCUCUACUAUCUACAUGAUUGGUGAUAAUCCUAAAGUUGAUAUCUAUGGAGUUUCGAAGGUUAGUCUAUGUUAUGAUACCUCUGAUUCAUCCGAUCACUGCCUGCAGAAGUUGACAGUGUUAGGAAAUUGUGCAAAUUAUCAAUAUGUCCUUCAGAACUCGUAUGACCUCAAAGUUGAACAGUUAGCAGGCAAUUCUGGAGAGAGAUGCUAACAAUUGAGGAAUUUACACUUUGCAGGCUGGCCCCCCUUGGUCAUCGGUUCUUACUAGGACUGGUGUUUUUAGGGGAAAGGAUAAUGAUCCAAAUUUUCCUGCUGAUUUGGUAUGUUUUAUUAGCGAUGAUUCUUUAGUUGGACCUUAUGAAUGUUUAGUCAUCUGUAACAAAUGUUUGCCAACAAAAUGUAUGUAUAUACCAUAAUAGUAGUUUCAGUCUUAAACCUGAAUAACAUAAGCAAUUGCUCAUGUUUCUGCACCUCGAUGUCUUGUACAAUUCAUUUUUUCAUCCUCUAGUAAAUCAGCUCAAAUAACUAGGGACUCGCUUUGGAGUUUGGUUCUCCAAACGGUUUAACUGUGCUAAUCCUAGGCGACUUCUUUUGUAUCGAGAAUUCAGCCAUUUCUCGUCCUUCUGUCACAUGUCUCCCCUGUUUAGCCAUUUGCUCAAUGUUAUUUGAGUUCGUGAUUGUUUUUUCUUACAAAUGAUGAACAACAAAUGCGUUCUUUUGGCAAAUUAUAUAUGUCACUCUUUUUCGGUUCCGUAGCACGGCACGGGUACUGUGGUAGUAACAGAAGAACUUGUAGUUGCUGUUGCAACAUACAGUGCAUUCAUGUUUAUUUACCAUGUAAAGUGGAAGCACCACUUUCCACUUCCAGUUUAUUUAUUUGCUUGCUGUUUUAAUUAUACAGGUUUAUGCCUUGCAGGUUGUUGAUACUGUUGAAGAUGCCAUCAACUGUAUUUUGGAAAAAGAAUGCAUACAGUGACAUUGUUGCAAAGGGACCUGGGCACAAAUGAUCCCUUCAUUGUUACUUUGCAUGCUUGGUAGCACAUUAUGACGUUAUCUAACUUGGAAGAACUGUGUCUUCCAAGAGUUCCAUCUCUGAUUUAUUGUACUUCACGGGAAAGCUCUCGAGACAUCAACACAUUAGGAAAACUAAAUCUGUUCCUAGAAUCAUGUGCAGUUAUGCACCCAUUAUUCUAACAGUGCAUUAAUUUCUCAGAAGUAAAAAGUGUUGUCUAAAUUAUUGUGGAUGCAAAAGAUAUUUUUUUUCUUGCAAAAUGUGAUCACAAGUGCACUAGAAAAAAAAGGCAAUGUACAUAUCAUUUACAGUUGAGUUCUUCUUGGUUUACCUUUUUUUGUUUUC